This is a long non-coding RNA of Lemur catta (Ring-tailed lemur), 602 nucleotides long. RefSeq lists it as uncharacterized. The transcript is spliced from 3 exons. NCBI's taxonomy places the organism in Eukaryota, Metazoa, Chordata, Mammalia, Primates, Lemuridae. The record is from RefSeq and is a predicted model, not a curated record.
AUGAACACUGUGGGCAGAGGCUGCUUUGGUGACAGGCUCCCUCCCUGGCAGAGAGCGACUUAGAAAUGUCACAGGUGCUUUUCAUUGUUGGUUCACCUGUCUGCCCCCACCCCUCCCUGCUGACAAAGCUGCUGGCUCCUCCUCCCCACUGCCUUCUCAGCGCCUGUCUCUGUUAAGGCCUGAGGCUGUUGGGUGAGAAGCCAUGACUUGAUUGGGUGUGUAGACGGGAGGUCAGGGGAAAAUCUGGGUAUCUAAAUUGGAUGUGACCUUGAGCUAUCAGCUGUGGACUUUCAGUGUCUAUCUGCUCAGGUUGUAAUUGCCUUGUUCAGGUCCCAGGAGUUUACCAAUGCCUAUUCCCAGAAGAUGGAAUACCAAGGAGGGGCCACCUUGGCGCCACUUGCCAAUGUCACCAUGGCCUUCCAUAAAUAAAUCUCACUCUCAUCAUGACUGAGAUUUUUGCUGAUCCACAUGUCCUGGAAGGAGGGGACAGCGUGAACCAUCUUGCCCUGAAUCUGCAUCUUUAGGAGAGCUGGAUGGGUUUCAUUCAUUUCACCCAGAAGUCAUUGCAGCUGAUCUAGUCACAAGUUCAUGAUUGCAAAAUC